This 68-nucleotide non-coding RNA is filed under the name unclassified sequences. The record is from RNAcentral.
GCCCUGCAAUCGCAUAACCUCCACGUUGGUGCAGGGUGGCAACGGGCAAGUGUCCGGCAAAUAUGCGA